GGGGUCGGUUGGGAUUUUAACAUAUAAAAAACGGUGGAUGAUAUCUUAAAUGUUCAUCAAUUUUGAUGGACAGAUGACAAAUGAUGGCUCUCAUACAAUUCUAAGUUCAAUAAGAUGCACACUAUAGUUGCAUGAAAUAUGGAAGCAUCUUAUAUGAAUCACUAUGCAAAUUUAUUCAUUGAGUUGUUCAGUUGGGUCGGCUUUGUCUGGGUUCGGUAGGCCGCUUUGGGUUUGAUUGGGAUCAA
Molecule: long non-coding RNA, 245 nt
Filed under: Elaeis guineensis (African oil palm)
Lineage: Eukaryota; Viridiplantae; Streptophyta; Magnoliopsida; Arecales; Arecaceae
Description: long non-coding RNA (EGUI_LNC037271)
Source: RNAcentral